ACGGAGCGGCGAACGGGUGAGUAACACGUGGGCAACCUGCCCCUAGCUCUGGGAUAACUCCGGGAAACCGGGGCUAAUACCGGAUAUGAGUUCGGAAGGCAUCUUCUGAUCUGGAAAGUUUUUCGGCUAGGGAUGGGCCCGCGGCCUAUCAGCUUGUUGGUGGGGUAAUGGCCUACCAAGGCGACGACGGGUAGCCGGCCUGAGAGGGCGACCGGCCACACUGGGACUGAGACACGGCCCAG
Molecule: ribosomal RNA, 242 nt
Filed under: uncultured bacterium
Lineage: Bacteria
Description: partial 16S ribosomal RNA
Rfam family: Bacterial small subunit ribosomal RNA
Source: RNAcentral